RNAcentral lists this ribosomal RNA (840 nucleotides) under uncultured bacterium. RNAcentral's name for it is "bacterial SSU rRNA". It matches the Rfam family "Bacterial small subunit ribosomal RNA", at positions 8 to 842 of the family's 1533-position model. The record is from RNAcentral.
AGAUGUUUGAUCCUGGCUCAGGAUGAACGCUAGCGACGGCCUAACACAUGCAAGUCGAGGGGUAGGUGAAAGUAGCUAUACUUUUGAUGACUACCGGGGCACGGGUGAGUAACGCGUAUGCAACCUACCUACUACAGGGGAAUACCCCGAAGAAAUUCGGAUUAAUGCCCCAUAAUACAGGGGCACCCCAUGGGGAUAUUUGUUAAAGAUUAAUUGGUAGUUUAUGGGCAUGCGUUCCAUUAGCCAUUUGGUGAGGUAACGGCUCACCAAAGCAACGAUGGAUAGGGGAACUGAGAUGUUUAUCCCCCACACUGGUACUGACACACGGACCGGACUCCUACGGGAGGCAGCACUGAGGAAUAUUGGUCAAUGGGCGAGAGCCUGAACCAGCCAAGUCGCGUGAAGGAUGACUGCCCUAUGGGUUGUAAACUUCUUUUGUACUGGGGUAAAAAAGAGGACGUGUCCUUUCUUGCAAGUACAGUACGAAUAAGCAUCGGCUAACUCCGUGCCAGCAGCCGCGGUAAUACGGAGGAUGCGAGCGUUAUCCGGAUUUAUUGGGUUUAAAGGGUGCGUAAGCGGUGAUUUAAGUCAGCGCUGAAAGUUUGAGGCUCAACCUUAAAAUUGCCGUUGAAACUGGCUUUCUUGAGUGUAUUUGACGUAGGCGGAAUUCGUUGUGUAGCGGUGAAAUGCAUACAUAUAACGAAGAACUCCGCUUGCACAUGCAGCUUACUACACUACAACUGACGCUCAUUCACGAAAGCGAGUGUAUCAGACACGAUUAGAUACCCUGGAUAGUACACGCAUUAAAACCACGAUUACUACCUGUUUGUGAUAAUACAA